Chenopodium quinoa (quinoa) is the source of this 1422-nucleotide long non-coding RNA. RefSeq lists it as uncharacterized. Lineage: Eukaryota; Viridiplantae; Streptophyta; Magnoliopsida; Caryophyllales; Amaranthaceae. The record is from RefSeq and is a predicted model, not a curated record. The transcript is spliced from 2 exons.
ACCCCUAGAUAUAUAAGAACCCUAAAUAUAUAAGAAUCCAUCUCAACCGUAGGAUCAAGUUGUUUUAGACGGUUAAGAUUAAAACACGUGUCCAACUUUUUCAACCCCCUUACCCACCUCCCAACCUUUUCUCUCUCCUCUAACUUUCUUUCCCUUCUUCCCGAUUCUCUCAUUUUCUCUCUCCUAAAACCCCCAAAAAUCUGAUAGAAGUUGCAAUUUGAAGGAUUUUCGCUUCAGGUAUGUUUUUCUUUUCGAUUUUGUUCAAAUUUUCAUGAAAUUAGCAUGAUGUUCAAGUGAAUUUGCAGUUUUAAUUGGUGAUUUUUGCAAUUUUUAGGGUUCGGAUUUAGGGUUCUAUUUUUGCGAUUUUUAGGAGUCGAUUUUUGCGUAUUAUUUUGUGCGAUUUUUGAGUUGGAUUUUUCGUAUGGAGUUUGAUUAUUUUGAGUUCGAGUUUAGCAAAUUUAGGGUUCGAAUCUUUGCGAAUUAUUUUGUUCGAUUUUUGCGAAUUAUUUUGUUUGAUUUUUGCGAAUGAUUUUUGUUCGAUUUUUGUUCAUUAUUUCGAUCAAUUUUUGUUCAUUAUUUCGUUCGAUUUUUGUUCAUUAUUUUGUUCGACUUUUGUGAAUUAUUUUUUUUUGAUUUUUGUGAAAUAUUUAUGUUCGAAAAAUUUGAUCUGUCAAUUAUUUUUUUUUUGUUCGAAUUAGUUCGAUUUUUGCAAAUUAAUGUCAAUUUUUGAAUUUUUUUUUGAGUAUGUGUAUUCGAACAAUAGAUCUGUUGCUGCUAUGGCUAUUACUACAGCCUCUUCUACUCUGCCUACUGCCCCUCCUAUCUUCUUCAAGGUUAAUUUAUAUAUAUUUUGUAGUUGAAGGCAUUUGGUGAAUUUUAUGAAGAAAUUGAUAACAAGAGUGUCGUUUUGUCCACUUUCGAAACAAGAAACAUUGAGAUGAAAUGGAAGAGCAAUGCAAACAAACAUGAUUGUGGAGUAUUUUUGUUGAAGCACAUGGAAACCUAGGACAAUGUCAAAAACAAUGAAAUUCGGGGCUAGAGAAGGGUAAUUUUGAGCAAAUGAAAAGGUUAUGAGUGGAGUAUUGUGGGAAGAUUAUAACAUCAGAAGUAAAUGAAGAAGUAAAUGAAGAACGGAAAAGAGUGAUGAAGAUGGCUAGAAAGUGGUCAAAGCUGAACAAAAAUUGAUAUAUGAUUGUGUAAAUCUUAAGUUUAUAUCUUUAGACAUAUAUUUAAAACAAUAUAUAGUACAUUUUUUGUACAAAUAUGGAGAUGACUAUUUUGAACAUGGGUAUCAUUUGGAAUAUUAAUAUCAUUUGAAACAUUAACCUUUGAAACAUUAUUUUUAUAAUGUUCUAAAGUAUUUCUGAUUUGGAAUAAGCUUAAGUUUUUCUUUCGUACAAUGAAGAAGGAAGAGGAAAGGAA